CUCUGGUCAGGAUUCAGCAGAGCCCACUCCUCCUCGGUGAAAUUCAGAAAAAACUCCUCAAGGGACUGUGGACCCUGAAAGGAAGCCUCCAUACUGGGCAUAUUUGACAAAAGCAAUGAAGUGAGAAAUUUGUUAAAAGAGAAAAUUACCAAGCAUAUAGAAGAACAAGCCUUGCUGUAGGAGAACCAACAUGGAUUCUGCAAGGUUCCACAGCACUUGCUUCCCUGCCGGCACAAAGAAGAGAUGACCGAGGAGACCUUGUUGACAUCUUUCCUGUGGGACACAGAAGUAAGUGGUACCAACGGGUUAAGUCCUCGCGUACUGAAAGGAAAUUCAUUUUUGAACUGUGAAAACGGCUACUGAG
This is a long non-coding RNA of Rhineura floridana, 364 nucleotides long. RefSeq lists it as uncharacterized. NCBI's taxonomy places the organism in Eukaryota, Metazoa, Chordata, Lepidosauria, Squamata, Rhineuridae. The record is from RefSeq and is a predicted model, not a curated record. The transcript is spliced from 3 exons.